UGUUCUAGCGGCGGACGGGUGAGUAACGCGUGAGCAACCUGUCCUUCACAGGGGGAUAACACAGCGAAAGUUGUACUAAUACCGCAUAAGACCACAACGGGACAUCCCGAAGGGGUCAAAGGAGCAAUCCGGUGAAGGGUGGGCUCGCGUCCGAUUAGAUAGUUGGUGAGGUAACGGCCCACCAAGUCGACGAUCGGUAGCCGACCUGAGAGGGUGAUCGGCCACAUUGGGACUGAGACACGGCCCAAACUCCUACGGGAGGCAGCAGUGGGGAAUAUUGGGCAAUGGGGGAAACCCUGACCCAGCAACGCCGCGUGAGGGAAGAAGGUUUUCGGAUCGUAAACCUCUGUCCUUGGUGAAGAGGAAGAGACGGUAGCCAAGGAGGAAGCCCCGGCUAACUACGUGCCAGCAGCCGCGGUAAUACGUAGGGGGCGAGCGUUGUCCGGAAUGAUUGGGCGUAAAGGGCGCGUAGGCGGCCCGGUAAGUCUGGAGUGAAAGUCCUGUUUUUAAGAUGGGAAUUGCUUUGGAUACUGUCGGGCUUGAGUGCAGGAGAGGUAAGUGGAAUUCCCAGUGUAGCGGUGAAAUGCGUAGAGAUUGGGAGGAACACCAGUGGCGAAGGCGACUUACUGGACUGUAACUGACGCUGA
This 647-nucleotide ribosomal RNA is filed under the name uncultured rumen bacterium. RNAcentral describes it as "bacterial SSU rRNA". It matches the Rfam family "Bacterial small subunit ribosomal RNA", at positions 88 to 749 of the family's 1533-position model. The record is from RNAcentral.